AGAAGAAGAGGCGCCAAGCCAUGGAAUUCAGAUUUGGAGGUAAAUCAGUGAAUUCUCCUUUUUUUUCUUGGUCUAUGUUAGUAAUCAGAAAUCAACCGUAUUUGGUUACGUACUCGGCGGGAAAUAAAAACAGAAUACAUUACAUUUUCGAAACAAAUAUUACAGGUCUCGAAAUAAGACCAAUCAGUCCACCUAUAAUUGAUUCUUAUUAUUAGGUGGAACCCAGACACAGAUCAUGUACUUGAGUGAGAUCAUGCACUUGAGUGAAUGUGGAUCCAACCGUUCUGCCUCAGAUUGUAGGCCAUAUAUAAUCACUUGUCAUAGUACCUUCAAGUCCAUAAAUAAGACAUCACGUCUGCAAAUCAAUGGAUCUAAAGAGAAGGUCAAGCAGCUUGCAGCUUUAUUAAACCAUUCAGCACGAACAUAACACAUUAUACUGUUACCCAAGACAGAUGUAAAAACAGAUUUAUAAUGACAGGAUAAGUAGAAGGAAAAAUAAAUAAAUAAAUAAAUAUUCCUUACAUAAAUGAACUGCCAAGCAUUUUUAUAUACUACAUCAAGUAUGAACUUGCUUAUUCUGUAAUCAUCUUCACAAUCUAAAUCAUGUGGUUGUAUAAGUUGUAAUUUGACAUCGCAUUGGGACAUGGAUAUUGAAAUCUGAUUCUAUACUCUCGUUUGCCCGGCAUCUCAACUGAGUAAUUACAUUGCCCUAUGUAUGCCUUACGGCUUCAUAGGAAUUGUGGUUGGAUCCACCAAAAGUUCAUUUGCUUCCUCUCAUCUGUUUCCCUUUUCUGUUUUCAAAAUUUUUUUGAUUUGUCCUCUCUACACUGGAGCUUUAUGAUCAUUAAAUUAACAUU
Jatropha curcas is the source of this 857-nucleotide non-coding RNA. Lineage: Eukaryota; Viridiplantae; Streptophyta; Magnoliopsida; Malpighiales; Euphorbiaceae. The record is from RefSeq and is a predicted model, not a curated record.